This 578-nucleotide long non-coding RNA is filed under the name Gigantopelta aegis. RNAcentral's name for it is "uncharacterized LOC121372724, transcript variant X2". The record is from RNAcentral. Lineage: Eukaryota; Metazoa; Mollusca; Gastropoda; Neomphalida; Peltospiridae.
CGAGCAUCAUUUCGUUAUUUUAUUGUUAUGGAAUCAGAAUUGAUUUGACUAUUAGGUUUAAGUUAUAAAGUUUUGUUUUAUUUUGUUUUGUUUUUUGGUACGAGCAUAUUGAUUUAUGAAUCAUCAUUACUGGAUGUGAAACAUACAAUGACGUCACAGGGCCUACUCUCUUCUACGGCAAACAGAUUACAGCGACCAGGCCAAAGACGACCCAGGUGCGACUGUCGAAUGUGAAUACAACUGAACAACUUAAAAACAGCAUGCCUAGAGGGUGGAGUUAAUCAUUCACUGGAUAUGACAAUAAGUGUGUGUAGUGCGUGCGUGUGCGUAUGCGCACGCGUGUAUGUUUGUGGUUGUUUCUUGUGAAAUUCGUAAAACAUCUUUAUUUAUAAUUCUACAAAACAUCUAAACAGCAUUUGAUUACUAAUGACGUUGUGAGCAUAAACAAAAACUGUGAUUUUAUUCAGUAUUUAGGGUCGAUUCUAAGCUUAUUUAUGAUUCCCAAAUAAUCUACGGAUGUGUUUAUUCUUGAUAUUCAAAAUGAUUUGUUUCUUCAAUAAAACGUUUUAUUAAAGAAA